This 461-nucleotide ribosomal RNA is filed under the name uncultured bacterium. Its description in RNAcentral is "partial 16S ribosomal RNA". It matches the Rfam family "Bacterial small subunit ribosomal RNA", at positions 28 to 505 of the family's 1533-position model. The record is from RNAcentral.
GACGAACGCUGGCGGCGUGCUUAACACAUGCAAGUCGAACGGAAAGGCCUUUUCGGAGGUACUCGAGUGGCGAACGGGUGAGUAACACGUGGGUGAUCUGCCCUGCACUCUGGGAUAAGCCUGGGAAACUGGGUCUAAUACCGGAUAGGACCGCACUUUAGUGUGUGUGGUGGAAAGUUUUUUCGGUGUAGGAUGAGCCCGCAGCCUAUCAGCUUGUUGGUGGGGUAAUGGCCUACCAAGGCGGCGACGGGUAGCCGGACUGAGAGGUUGGUCGGCCACAUUGGGACUGAGAUACGGCCCAGACUCCUACGGGAGGCAGCAGUGGGGAAUAUUGCACAAUGGGCGCAAGCCUGAUGCAGCGACGCCGCGUGGGGGAUGACGGCCUUCGGGUUGUAAACUCCUUUCGCCAGGGACGAAGCGUUUUGUGACGGUACCUGGAGAAGAAGCACCGGCUAACUACG